AUGGUUCUCAAACUUCAUAAUCUGCACAAAUCAGGCAGUGCAUGGAUACUGUGCAUUAAAUACUAAAGACUAACAUUUCAAAGUGACUUUGUACCCAGUGCUGAUGAGCCAAACAAUCGCAUGCAUUUUUAAGUCCCAUUCGAUUAUGCAACGUUUUUUUUAUUACAGACAAGAACACUGUACGGCCUUUACAUGUUCAGACAUACAUAUCUGUAUGCCUGUAUGGUCAUGUGUUGUGAUAGAAAUCAGAGAAAAGCUUUAGGAGACCUGGAUGCCUUACAAAGAAGCUUUGAAUGAAGCUUGGCCAAAGAAAAAACAGUUAACCAGAACAAGUGUACAUGCAAGGGUUCUUACUGGGCCACCUUUUGGCAGAUGAAAAUGUUUUCAUUCCCCCCCCACCCCCACUCACCAUACACAUCAACACAUUAACAUAUGAUAUACACUUAUCACACUGUCAGUCACGCCCUUUGCUAACAAAUUUCUGUAUUUUUAGACUUUAUCUCCAACAUUGUCUGCCAAUGGAGAAUGUUCACUUCAGUGUGUGACAACAAACUGUGCAUCCCAAAGCUGUGUCAUGUUUCAACCGUGCAUCAAAUAAGGAAAAGUCCUUCACAAGUAUUAUCUGUCAGAGACUUUAACUGUUGGAUUUGAGGUAAUUAUAUAAACAAGGAGGUAUUACACUUGUGGGAGUGAAUCACCCACGGCAACAAGGAAGUGCUUGUAAGUGACAAGGGCUACAUAUGUGCCUGUCUAUAUUAGCCACAGAUGAAGUUAAAACCCAUGCGUCUUAUAAGCUGACUAGCCAUUUCAAAAGUGAUUGUUUUUAUGAUAAGCAUAUUAUUUUUAUCUUUAUUGCUUGUAAGGAAUCUGGGAAUAUGAAUUCUCACUACCAUGAUGACAACCUGCUGGUGACUGUUAGUAACCUGUUUUCCACUGGAACAGACACUACAUCAUCCAGUAUUAGAUAUGGCUUACUGCUCAUGGCCAAGAAUCCAACAAUACAAGGGAAGGAACACAAUAACUUGGAUGUAUGAAACAAUAUCUCAAUUAAUAAGUGAAUAGAAUUUGACUCAACAGAAAAAAGCUUAAGUUCAGGCACCAGAAAGUCAUGUUUUCAUGCAGUUGCCAUCUCCUCCGCCAUAAUUGUCAGAGUGGGAUGCUAACAUUUAAUGUAAAGAUUCUAACGGGGCGUUCUCGAGAAUUUCAAGCCUUGAGUGGAUAUUUCAGGAACUGCAGUUUUGAGCACUUUAGCUUUAGCUUUGCUUGAUUUGGGCCUGUGGAUCAAGUGAAUGCCAUGGGAUCCCUCCUGGAAACUAUUUUUUCUGAAGCGCUGCCCAAAACACUCAUCAAUGACUCAUAAAGAAAAUCAGUGUUAUCAAUGUUCCUUUAAUACUGAUAAAACUUGCCCUUAAAGCACUCUGUAUGGCUGUGUUUGGACUUAACUGUUUUAAACCAGCCCUUUCUCCGUUACUGUAUAACAAAGCCAAUGAGAUUGUGCUCGUGUUUCAUCUCCAAGAACGAGUUCAGGAAGAGAUGAACAGGGUGGUAGGAAGCCGUCAGGUCUGGGUAGAGGACAGGAAGAACCUUCCAUACACUGACGCUGUUAUCCAUGAAAUACAGAGGAUGUCCAUCACUAUCCCGAUGAUUCUACAUCGCACCACACGAGAUGUUACCUUCCAGGACUACUUCAUCAAGAAAGGAACUACAGCACUGCUGCUGCUGUCAUCUGCUCUUCGGGAUGAAGACGAAUGAGAAACACCUUACACUUUCAACCCAGCCCACUUCUUAGAUGAGGACGGACAUUUUAAAAAGAGAGACGCUUUUAUACCGUUUUCCGCAGAGCAAGGGCUUGUGCGGGAGAAAGCUUGGCUAGGAUGGAGCUCUUCCUCUUCUUCACCUCCCUCCUCCAACACUUUAGCUUCACUCCUCCACCUGGAGUUAAAGAGGAUGAACUGAAUCUGACACAGAAUGUGGGCAUAACCCUGAGUCCAUCACCUCAUAAACGAUGUGCUAUCAGCAGGGUCUGACAGACUUCUAAAGUCUGUUAUCACGUGAUGAGAUAACCGCAAUCAUUACAGCAAAGACGUUAUAAACACAGCAUUGUGCCCACAAGACACAACUUCUUUGCAAAUUAACUUGUCACACAUAUCCUGACAAAUUGAAAUAAAAUUGUACAGCUAAAAAAACACUAUAUUAAUCAUGUAUGAAUGUAUGAAAAACUAACAUGUGUUGAUGCCUGUCCUAACAAUACAAAAACAUUAGAUUCUAAUAUACAAGGAGCACAUUGUUGAUGAAAUGAAAUUUAAAAAUGUGUAUAGUAUCUCAAAAUAAACUUUGGAUU
Labrus bergylta (ballan wrasse) is the source of this 2341-nucleotide non-coding RNA. NCBI's taxonomy places the organism in Eukaryota, Metazoa, Chordata, Actinopteri, Labriformes, Labridae. The record is from RefSeq and is a predicted model, not a curated record.